AUGCACCUGGGCAAGGAUUCUG
RNAcentral lists this microRNA (22 nucleotides) under Homo sapiens (human). RNAcentral's name for it is "hsa-miR-500a-3p". Its record names the gene hsa-miR-500a-3p. The record is from miRBase by way of RNAcentral. RNAcentral also lists the same sequence under 1 other name. Lineage: Eukaryota; Metazoa; Chordata; Mammalia; Primates; Hominidae.